AGCAGCCGCGGUAAUACCGGCGGCUCGAGUGGUGGCCACUUUAUUGGGCUUAAAGCGUCGUAGCUGGGUUAUUAAGUCCCUUGGGAAAUCCGACAGCUUAACUGUCGGGCGUCUAAGAGAUACUGGUAAUCUUGGAACCGGGAGAGGUGAGGGGUACUUCGGGGGUAGGAGUGAAAUCCUGUAAUCCUCGAGGGACCACCUGUGGCGAAGGCGCCUCACCAGAACGGCUUCGACAGUGAGGGACGAAAGCUGGGGGAGCAAACCGGAUUAGAUACCCGGGUAGUCCCAGCCGUAAACGAUGUGCGUUAGGUGUAUCGGUGACCACGAGUCACCGAGGUGCCGAAGGGAAACCGUGAAACGUACCGCCUGGGAAGUACGGUCGCAAGGCUGAAACUUAAAGGAAUUGGCGGGGGAGCACCACAACAGGUGGAGCCUGCGGUUUUUAAAAUUGGACUCAACGCCGGAAAUCUCACCGGAUAAGACAGCAGAAUGAUUGCCGGGCUGAAGACUCUGCAUGACUAGCUGAGUAGUGGUGCAUGG
RNAcentral lists this ribosomal RNA (540 nucleotides) under uncultured archaeon. RNAcentral describes it as "bacterial SSU rRNA". It matches the Rfam family "Archaeal small subunit ribosomal RNA", at positions 460 to 997 of the family's 1478-position model. The record is from RNAcentral.